ACUCACUCACAAACGGAGGAGCAUAUAGAUAGAUAGCAGCAUCUUAUUCUUCCCAUUUCCAAACCCUAAACCCACGCACAAUGCCAAUGGCUUACUGCAUCACCAAAACGACGCCGCUCAACCUCCCUCCCUCCCUCCCCCGCUCCCCCACCCACCUCCUCCCCAAAACCACCACCCUCCCCCAAAGCCCCGCCGCUCCCACCACCAUCCACGCCCGCGCUCCCCGCCGCCUCACCCCAACCCCGCCGCGCUGCUCUCUCCCCGGCGCCGCAGUCGCAGUCGCGGAGGCAGCGCCGAAGCUGGGAAAACGAAGCGACAUAAAGAAGAUCCUGAUCCUGGGCGCGGGGCCCAUCGUGAUAGGGCAAGCGUGCGAGUUCGACUACUCGGGCACCCAAGCGUGCAAGGCCCUCCGCGAAGAGGGAUACGAAGUCAUCCUCAUUAACUCCAACCCCGCCACCAUCAUGACCGAUCCCGAAACCGCCGACCGCACCUACAUCACCCCCAUGACCCCCGACCUCGUCGAGCGCGUCCUCGCCUCCGAGCGCCCCGACGCCCUCCUCCCCACCAUGGGCGGCCAGACCGCCCUCAACCUCGCCGUCGCCCUCGCCGAGAGCGGCGCCCUCGAGAAAUACGGCGUCGAACUCAUCGGCGCCAAGCUCGACGCCAUCAAGAAGGCUGAGGACCGCGAGCUCUUCAAGCAGGCCAUGAAGAACAUCGGCAUCAAAACCCCUCCCUCCGGCAUUGGCACCACUCUCGACGAAUGCAUUCAAAUUUCCAACGAAAUUGGGGAGUUUCCGGUCAUUGUUCGCCCCGCCUUCACCCUCGGCGGCACCGGCGGAGGAAUCGCCUACAAUAGAGAAGAUUUGCUGGAAAUUUGCAAGGCGGGGCUCGCUGCUAGCUUGACCAACCAGGUUUUGAUUGAGAAGUCGCUUCUUGGGUGGAAAGAGUAUGAGCUUGAGGUUAUGCGGGAUUUGGCUGAUAAUGUUGUUAUUAUUUGCUCCAUUGAGAAUAUUGACCCUAUGGGGGUUCAUACCGGGGAUUCUAUCACCGUUGCGCCGGCGCAGACUUUGACGGAUAAGGAGUACCAGCGGUUGAGGGAUUACUCAAUUGCUAUAAUUAGAGAGAUUGGAGUGGAGUGUGGUGGCUCUAAUGUGCAGUUUGCGGUUAAUCCCGAGAAUGGGGAGGUCAUGGUGAUUGAGAUGAACCCCAGGGUUUCGAGGUCUUCGGCCUUGGCAUCGAAGGCCACCGGGUUCCCCAUUGCCAAGAUGGCGGCGAAAUUGUCCGUGGGGUAUUCUUUGGAUCAGAUACCGAAUGAUAUAACGAAGAAGACGCCUGCUAGUUUUGAGCCUUCUAUUGAUUAUGUGGUUACAAAGAUUCCUCGGUUUGCUUUUGAGAAGUUUCCUGGGUCUCAGCCAAUAUUGACAACACAGAUGAAAUCAGUUGGCGAGGCUAUGGCUGUAGGGCGGACUUUCCAAGAGUCGUUUCAAAAAGCAGUACGCUCUCUAGAGCAUGGAUAUGCUGGAUGGGGGUGUGGACAAGUGAAGGAGUUGAACUAUGACUUGGAGCAGUUGAAGUAUAGCCUCCGAGUACCUAACCCGGAGCGCAUCCAUGCUAUCUAUGCUGCAAUGAAAAGAGGGAUGGAGAUUGAUGAAAUCUUUGAGCUGAGUUACAUUGACAAAUGGUUUCUCACGCAGCUCAAGGAGCUGGUUGAUGUGGAAAGUUUCUUGCUGUCUCACAGUUUGUCGGAUUUAACAAAUGUUGAUUUUUACGAGGUGAAGAGAAGAGGGUUUAGUGAUAAACAGAUAGCAUUUGCAACUAAAACCACCGAGAAAGAAGUGCGCUAUAAGCGAUUGUCUCUGGGUGUUACUCCAGCAUAUAAGAGAGUUGAUACCUGUGCAGCUGAAUUUGAAGCUAAUACUCCUUACAUGUAUUCUUCUUAUGAUUUUGAGUGUGAAUCGGCUCCCACUACAAAAAAGAAGGUCUUAAUUUUGGGUGGAGGACCCAAUAGAAUUGGUCAAGGGAUUGAGUUUGACUACUGUUGUUGUCAUGCAUCAUUUGCUCUUCAGGAAGCAGGAUAUGAGACUAUCAUGGUGAACUCAAACCCUGAGACAGUCUCCACAGAUUAUGACACUAGUGAUCGUCUAUACUUUGAACCCUUGACCGUUGAAGAUGUUUUGAACAUUAUUGAUUUGGAAAGGCCUGAUGGUAUCAUUGUACAAUUUGGAGGUCAAACACCAUUGAAGUUAUCUCUCCCCAUACAGCACUACCUAGAUGAACACAAGCCGGCAUGUGCUAGUGGGGUUGGUCACGUACGCAUUUGGGGAACAUCUCCUGAUUCCAUAGAUAUUGCCGAGGACAGAGAGAGGUUCAACGUGAUGCUUCAUGAACUAAAGAUUGAACACCCAAAAGGAGGAAUUGCUAGGAGUGAAACUGAUGCACUUGCUAUUGCAGCAGAAAUUGGAUACCCAGUUGUUGUUCGUCCUUCUUAUGUUUUGGGUGGUCGAGCAAUGGAGAUUGUAUAUAGUGAUAGUAAACUGGUGACCUACCUUGAAAAUGCUGUUGAGGUGGAUCCAGAACGCCCUGUAUUAAUUGACAAGUAUUUAUCUGAUGCUUGUGAGAUUGAUGUUGAUGCCCUGGCUGACUCACAAGGCAAUGUGGUAAUUGGUGGGAUAAUGGAGCACAUUGAACAGGCUGGUAUACAUUCCGGUGAUUCUGCCUGCUCUAUUCCCACCAGAACUGUUCCAGCUUCUUGCUUGGAGACAAUCAGGUCAUGGACGGAAAACUUGGCUAAACAACUGAAUGUUUGUGGGCUCAUGAAUUGUCAGUAUGCAAUAACUCCAUCAGGGGAUGUAUUUUUGCUUGAGGCCAACCCUCGAGCUUCCCGUACAGUUCCAUUUGUAUCAAAAGCAAUUGGCCACCCCUUGGCUAAAUAUGCUUCGCUUGUCAUGUCUGGAAAGACUCUCCAUGAUAUACAGUUUACAAAAGAGGUUAUCCCUAAAUAUGUGUCAGUCAAGGAAGCAGUUCUUCCUUUUUCAAAGUUCCCAGGCUGUGAUGUGUUUUUAAGUCCUGAGAUGCGAAGCACUGGUGAGGUCAUGGGUAUUGACCCUUCAUAUAAUACUGCAUUUGCUAAGGCUCAAAUAGCUGCUGGCCAGAAGUUGCCACUUUCUGGUACUGUGUUCCUUAGCUUGAAUGACUUGACCAAGCCUCACCUUCAGAAGAUUGCAAAGGCGUACAUUGAGAUUGGAUUUCAGAUUGUUGCUACUAGUGGAACAGCUCAUACUCUCAAUUUAGCUAAAAUCCCGGCGGAGCGAGUGCUGAAGUUGCACGAAGGGAGGCCUCAUGCCGGUGACAUGAUUGCCAAUGGAGACAUUCAGCUGAUGGUGGUAACCAGUUCAGAUGAUGCACUUGAUCGGAUAGAUGGUAUGGCACUGAGAAGGAUGGCUUUGGAUUACAAGGUUCCUAUUGUGACAACAGUUAAUGGAGCUAUGGCAACUGCUGAAGCAAUAAAGAGCUUGAAGUCCAACUCUAUCAGAAUGAUCGCUCUUCAGGACUUCAUUGAUGGUGAAUAUAAGGAGUGAGAAAUUUUUGCAGUCAACCUCUUUCUCUCUGAAUAGUUUAGGCGAUAGACACUACUUACCCUGAGGUUGUACAAUUUGCUAGAGUUGGGAGUGGCGGACGAAUCUCUAUGGAAUAGAGAAUGAAAGAUCAUGUAGUCUGUGUCCUGACUCCUGAUAUAAAGCAUUUGUGUAAAAGAUUUUGUAGUAUUUGGAUUUCUGCUGCUUAAUAAUUAUUUUCAUUUUUAAAAUCUUGCCACGUGCACUUGGUACUGCUGCUUAGCCUUUUCAUUUAUAUAUAUAGCAAUCGCAAAUUAAAUAUUGCGAGUAGUAUAAUUUUAAUGUUAAA
Cajanus cajan (pigeon pea) is the source of this 3903-nucleotide RNA transcript. It is a transcript of the gene named carbamoyl phosphate synthetase B, with no coding region annotated. The record is from RefSeq and is a predicted model, not a curated record. NCBI's taxonomy places the organism in Eukaryota, Viridiplantae, Streptophyta, Magnoliopsida, Fabales, Fabaceae.